RNAcentral lists this ribosomal RNA (528 nucleotides) under uncultured bacterium. RNAcentral describes it as "bacterial SSU rRNA". It matches the Rfam family "Bacterial small subunit ribosomal RNA", at positions 9 to 524 of the family's 1533-position model. The record is from RNAcentral.
GAGUUUGAUCCUGGCUCAGGACGAACGCUGGCGGCGUGCCUAAUACAUGCAAGUCGAACGCAAUCUUUGAACAAUGAGUGCUUGCACUCAGCGUUUAAAGUGCGAGUGGCGAACGGGUGAGUAACACGUGGGCAAUCUGCCCAAAAGUGGGGGAUAACACUUGGAAACAGGUGCUAAUACCGCAUCAACCGGCUGACCGCAUGGUCGGCCGGGCAAAGACGGCGUCAGCUGUCGCUUUUGGAUGAGCCCGCGGCGUAUUAACUAGUUGGUAAGGUAACGGCUUACCAAGGUGAUGAUACGUAGCCGAACUGAGAGGUUGAUCGGCCACAUUGGGACUGAGACACGGCCCAAACUCCUACGGGAGGCAGCAGUAGGGAAUCUUCCACAAUGGACGCAAGUCUGAUGGAGCAACGCCGCGUGUAUGAAGAAGGUCUUCGGAUCGUAAAAUACUGUUGUCAGAGAAGAACACGUGAUAGAGUAACUGCUAGGCGCUGACGUUCUACCAGCAGCGCCCUAAGCCCAAAAAAU